RNAcentral lists this ribosomal RNA (654 nucleotides) under uncultured fungus. RNAcentral's name for it is "eukaryotic LSU rRNA". It matches the Rfam family "Eukaryotic large subunit ribosomal RNA", at positions 24 to 664 of the family's 3401-position model. Lineage: Eukaryota; Fungi. The record is from RNAcentral.
CCCGCUGAACUUAAGCAUAUCAAUAAGCGGAGGAAAAGAAACCAACAGGGAUUGCCUCAGUAACGGCGAGUGAAGCGGCAACAGCUCAAAUUUGAAAUCUGGCUCUUUCAGGGUCCGAGUUGUAAUUUGUAGAAGAUGCUUCGAGUGUGGCUCCGGUCUAAGUUCCUUGGAACAGGACGUCAUAGAGGGUGAGAAUCCCGUAUGUGACUGGCUGCCUUCGCUCAUGUGAAGCUCUUUCGACGAGUCGAGUUGUUUGGGAAUGCAGCUCAAAAUGGGUGGUAAAUUUCAUCUAAAGCUAAAUAUUGGCCAGAGACCGAUAGCGCACAAGUAGAGUGAUCGAAGGAUGAAAAGCACUUUGGAAAGAGAGUUAAACAGUACGUGAAAUUGCUGAAAGGGAAACGCUUGAAGUCAGUCGCGUUGGCCAGGGAUCAACCUUGCUUUUGCUUGGCUUACUUUCUGGUCGAUGGGUCAGCAUCAAUUUUGACUGGUGGAAAAAGUUCAAGGGAAUGUGGCAUCUUCGGAUGUGUUAUAGCCUUUGUUCACAUACAUUGGUUGGGAUUGAGGAACUCAGCACGCCGCAAGGCCGGGUUUUUAACCACGUACGUGCUUAGGAUGCUGGCAUAAUGGCUUUAAUCGACCCGUCUUGAAACACGG